GAGAAACCGACUGGAGGGAUGAUAGCCUCACCUUUGUUUUUGGAAGUAAAAUAUCCAGUCCUUUGGGUCUUAAGAAACAGAUCUGUUUUCAGGAAAAAGAAAAAAAAAUAAACUACACUUAGAAGCAGACAAUAAACUAACCAAAACCAAACCACAUGCAAGAAACAUUGAUCUUGUCUCGUGUAAAAGCACCUUCACCGCAAUUCCCACCUAAUGAAACCACACCGUUCUUCUGACUUGAUAGAUCAACCAGGUGUACAGUUCGGCAGCAUAGACUUCAGCUGCUUUGAGUCCUUGCCUUUACAGUUCACCUUCCCAAAGGAUUUUGAAUAGUUAUGUUUUGCUUUUAAUUUAACUCGGAGACACGCUAACAGGGCCCUCAACUUUGCUCUUCUUAUAUGCAUACCAUAAGAGAGUCACCACAGAAGCAUACAGUCUCCUUUUAUCUUCGCUUACCUCACAUUCUUGUCUCCAUGAUGGCCCAGAUUUAGUAAGAAGGUUCCAGGACCAGCAGUAUUUCCUCACACUACCUCCUGGGUUGGGAGUCAGUAUAGGUGCUUUGUGGAUCCACUCUGAAAUACUGAGAAGACCCAGGAGAGCCCAGGCCCUUAACCCCUAUAGCUCUGUGUAGGUAAAGGUCACAACUUAAAGCUGCCAUGUCCAUGCUAAAAAUCUCCAGUCCCAGUGCAGUUUUGGAAGGGCCAGGCUAUUUCCCAAGGUAGCUACAAUCUUCUCAGAAGGCUUUGCUUCUCACUGGUUUUAACUUUUCAUGUAUUCAUUAUCUCUGACGCUACAGAACAGUUGUGUUCUGUCGAUAGAGUCAAGCCAACAAAUACUGCAUUAAUGUAAUAGCAGAAGUAGUGUGGAAGUUUGGGGCACAGCCUACUCAGACUUUAUAACUUACUCCACAGUGUAAGAAUUUGAAGAGGAAAUAAGUAUCCUCUGAGAAAUGGGCGAGGGGUGGUUUGUUAAAGUGCCAGUUUACCCACGUAUCUCACUAUGAUUAUUUGAAGCUUGCAGCAAGUCAGUGAAAUAUCUCCACAGAAGAGGAGACAUUAUAUGCUUUCCUUUCAAAGUGUUCAACUUGGGAAGCAAUAAGAGGCAAUGGCUUCUUGUGGCACAAGGACAAGGGAAAUUAUCACUGUCUACCGUCAGGUCUUGCUUUCCUGUUUCUAAUAUAUCCACUAAGAAAUCUAAAUACAUCCUUUUUGCUUCAGUUAUUUAAAACUAUCUUGUAUCCAUAACAUAGUCUUACAUAACAUAGACAAAUCUCACAUAAAUACCGUAACCUGUUAUUAAGGCAGGAGGAAGAAAUGAAUGUCUGUCCUGCUAUUUGUGGGUUUUUUUUCUAAUAAAAAAAGGGAGAGCCGUCCCAUUUUGGGACACUGAGGAUGAUUUUGGGACUAAAUGCAAGUGAACUUAAUUGAGCUAGAUUUUUAAUUAAUAUAAUUAAUUAUGCUGUUAAUAUCUAAAUUUACAAGGCAAUUGCACUGUGAAAAAUAAUCUCUCUUGGUAUUACGGCCCAUAAUACAUAUUAGCCUUCCAUCUGUGCAUAAUAAUUUGUCACUUUUCAGCCAAAGUAAUUAUUCUUGCUAAAAUUCUGCUCAGAGAGAUUCAAUCAGAGCUUGGAACAUAACUUGGUUGUGAAUCCAUUGCUAAACAUUACAAUUCAGGGUCCUCUUUUGGAUGUUUAGAAGAAGUACAAUCGCUAUAAAAGAAUUUAUGAAAUUUACUAACUUACAAAACACUUGGAAGUCCAUAUCAAAUAAUUAAGGAGGAGAGGAGGAAAGGAAAGGUGGGAAGGAAAUGAGGGAAGAAAACACACACUAGUUUACUGGGUCAAUCAAAAGGUUUUAGAGACUAUAUGGAAAACAGGUAGUCAAGGAAAGGAUGUUUUUCCUUAAAAUAAGGCAUUCCCUGUAAACGUAGUGAGAAUUUCCUUUGCAAGGAGUGAUUUUUAAAAAUACUGGUUGAUCUUAAUUCACUUGUCCUUUCCUGAAUGAAACUACCCACUGAAGGUAAGAGUCUCAGAAAGUGUGACUGAGAUAUUGUGAUUGUGAGAAAUGUUUGUGCUUUUUUUUUUGUAAGAGCUUCCUUCCCACUGGUGAACUUGUGAGGACCUGGAUAAUCUCCUAAUCUCAGAAGGCAGAAUGCCUUGCUUGCUGUGGAGAAGUUCAAAUGGUCUGUUCAGUUUAUUAACACUGUACUAAAAUGCCUCCUACUAGCAUUGCCUGCCUUAUGCCAGUAACACGAUGUUCUAGGUCUGCUUCAGUUUCUUUGAGGUAAUAUUUAAAGGGAAUAGUCAAAGUCAUAUGAUUAAUGACUAAAAAUAUAGUUUCAUUACUUCAGAGGCCAUUUAAUUAAUCUGUUAUAAAUUGUUUUAAUCUGGCGGCUUUUCACAGGAAACACAACCACAGUUCUCUCUUGGAUGACGCUUCUAUUUCAGUUUUAGAUUCAGCCAAAUGCGUCUUUGAUUUGGCAACAUGGAUAGUGCUGGAGUAUUUGGUAACCUUGUGGUUGAUGACUUUCAUGUCCUGAUGACCAGAAUUCCAACUGUGUGAAUAGCUCAUAUGGUUUGGUAAACAAUGGCAAUUUAGUUGAAUACCUCCAUGGAACAUGCUAGGCAGUGUUGCCCAAUGCUUGCUAUUAAUCUAUUUUUAAACAAACACUGAACACUCUGAACUCAUUAACACAGAUAAAGGCAGGUAGUGUCUCAUACCUCUAAUAUGCCUCAGUUUACACCUCUGGAAAUGGUAAAGUGAUAUCAUACCCUUGUGAUUCAACCUUAACUCCCUUCUCUGAAGUUGGCAGUUGCCACAGAUGUGAUUCCAACAGGUCAGCACAGAGGUUGAAAGGUGACCAACAGGUUCUCCAAUAGUAGUUCACACUCUCCAUCACCACUCCAGGACUUUGGCCCGUAUGACCUUAAUUCUGGCCAUCCACAGUCUUGCUGCAAGGAUCUGACACACUGCAUCAUUCAUGCUCACCGGCUCUAUUCCCCUUCUUCUUAGCCUUUGCAGACCACAGUAUGGAUGAAGAAGAACCAGGAACAACUUUCAGCACUACUUCUGACCGGAUAUAUCUGCUGAAGAGGUGAAAAAGGGCAAUCCACGGUUUCUAGCUAGAUGGGAGCAUGAGAGAAAGACUGUCCAGACAAGGAGGUGCGCCCUUGCCUAACCUGUGACCCUCACAGUGCUCUAGUCACCAGGUGAAAGUGCUGGGGAGGAGGAGCUGAAGUCAAGGCCAGGAAUUGGCAGGACAGUACUCAGACACCUCUUCUCCAAACUUUCUAACAGCACUCCAGCUUUCUCGCACCAAAUCCUUCCAGCUGAAUAGUGGAACCAGGUGGCCCCUUUACACCUUCCUCUGCCUCACUUGAGUCACGGUAAGCAGCUCUACCAUCAUUCUUUUCAGUGCAUGGAGAAUCUGUGACCAGAGAUCACCUAGGAAUUUACCAACGAUUGUAUCCAUACACACAGUCAGUGGAGCAGACGUGUCUUUGGGAUCCUGAAGGCUGCAGCUGAACAAAAUGAACCACAACAUCCCAAGGCAUCCUUGUGAUGGCAGUGCCUGUAUUCUGUCUGUGGGUAUCAUCAGUGAGCAUCAUAGUUACCUGCAAUGGCAUUCUCUCCUCCGCAGCCAUAUGAACUGAAUUAAGGAGUCUGUUCAUAGUAUCAGUGUCCAAUCUCAGAAAGCAUCAACUCUACAAUAAAUCUGUGACUGAAUUGGACUGAUGAGUACUGUAUGGACAGGUAGUCAUUUACUGUAACAAGAGCAGAAAAAUCGUGAGGUAGGAGGAAUAAUAUGUCAGCUGAGGAUUUCUGGUUGCCUGUGUCGGUGGUGCUUAGCCUCAGCAAAGGAAGAGUUCCUGUCACUCCAUACAGGUCAUGGGCCUGAGCAAAGAGAGUGUGCCAUUCCUGCUGCUGUGUGCCGCAGUGAAGCACCUGUAAAUUCAUAAAGAGGCAGCUUGUUUUUUUUUCCAUACUUCUAGAACACCAUAGGUUCAAAGCAUCCAGAAGGUUGUAAGCAGCCCCAGAUUCCUGCUGUGAGGCCAUGGGAAGGCUUCAGAGGCCAGUGAUGAGCUCUGAUAAUGACUGUUGUUCUUCCCUGAGUGAAAGUUCCAGCUGCCCUGCAGCCUUAAACCUGCCUUUGGACAGUCUGGCCUCCAGUACAACUCUUAAGUAGAAGCUGCUUAUUUGUUUUUCAUAGUUGCUGCCAAUAGGAUACUCUUUUCUUGCAGAAAAUGGCCUGAUGUUGACUGAAGCCAUAGAGCAUGUAGAUUGAACACUCAUUCUGCUUUCAGAAAGAAAAUGUGCUCAGCAUUAUUUUUCUUUUGGUGGAGUGGCAAGGUACAUGGAGAUCCUUCUCAGGUCUGGAAGCAGCAGGUUCAUCUGAAGACAAGACAGGUGUGCUUGGGCUGGCUUGGAACCUGGAGAGGCAGGCUCUCUUCAUCACUGGGCUGUAACUGUUUCCUCAUUUAGAGUUGACUGGUGAUACCUAGGAAGUGGAUCCCAGAUGAUUUCUCCUAAGGUUGUGACAGACAGGGUUCCUGACAAAUAUUUUUAUUAGACAGCAGCCAGGCGGAUCUGUUCCCUUGGCCAUGUAGUCUGGUGACAGCCAUUAACACAGUGUAACUCUUUGGCUUUGGAGGACUGUGCAAAAUUCUCAGAACCCAGCUAAGUCGUGGCUACCAGUGCUGAGGGUUGAGAUUUGUGCUGCCUGUGAGUCUUGUGUGAUGGGAGAAAACACUAGAACAGAAUGCAUGGAAUGAAUAACUGUUGUGCAGUCUUCGACUCUUACUUGCUCAGCUCAUCUAACAUGAGUUAGGAGGAGUUCAAUCAGACUGACUGUGCAGACAACUCCACAAAAAUGAUUGUGAGCAUAAAGCCAUUCCAUAAAGCCAUACUGUCCUUUCCAGCUGCACACAUAUUCUACUUACUGUUUGAAAAAUGUUUUUCUAACAAUUUUGUUGACACUUUUUUUAAAACAAUCCUGUCGAUUCCUUCUCUUUUUGAUGGUCUAGGUCAAGCUGUCCAGUGGCCAGCCUUUCUGACAGUAGUGUUCUCAUGGGGUGUUUUGUCAAGGACUUGGCCAAUUCCCAUGCAGUAUAUAGUCAUCCUCCCCCAGUUCCUUGCUUGUACAGAUAGACCAGUCCCUCACCACCUCUAAUAGGGGUUGUCUCUUGAUUGUUCUGAUCCUUAACUUAACCGUGAGAACAAUACACAGUACCAACCUAUACUCUGUACUAUCUUUUGGGAUGUGUCAAGAGUGCCAAUGGAGAAAUCCAUAUCUGACUUGGCUGUGAAGUGCAAACCGCUUCAGAAUCACCCCUUUCAUGAUUUCUUUUAGGAAUGGAGAGAGCAACAAUGAUGAGGAUAUGUGUACAACUACUGUCCUGAGGAUGUGGAAGCCACGUUUUUAAUCUUUUGCUCUGUAUUACUUACUGCUGCAUUCUAUUUUCUGCAUCUCUGUAACAAGGGAAAUCCUUCCCUUGCUCUGAGUGCAGAUGUUUCCUGUUGACAACAGUAUGAUAGUGCACAAUGCACACCAUAGUGUCCAUAAGAGUACAAUUGCUUGGUGCUGAUCUGGAGAUGAUCUAUUGCUGCUGUGGUGGCUCAGGCAAAGGGCUAUCAGACAGGGUACAAGUGAUUUUCUAGGUACUUCAGUGUAGUUUGUGUCAUCUACAGGAUAAGCAACACUGCCUCAGCUUUCCACACAGCUGCUAAGAACAAUUUAUUGUUGUUUGUACUGCGUGAUGUUAUUGUUUGCUGGACCUGAUUCAAACUACCAUGUUCAUUUUGGCCACAUGGAACCCAGCAAGAAUUAUGGACAAAAUGUCUGGGUCUCACAGAAGUUACCUCUGCAGUUACCCACUGUCUGUGAUGUCUCAGGGCAGAUCUCAUCAAUCACCCAGGAAAGUGUUGUAUCAGAUCUGCUAUCACAAAAUAUUUACAGUAUACAGUAGGAAAGAUGAAAUCUCUUCUAGAUAAAGUAGGGCUCUGGCUGAGUGCCCAGCCUUGCUGCCAAACAGCUGGCCUUGCUGCUGGAGCAGAAAAUAGAAAGAGUAAGUAUGUUUCUCUGGAGGAAUGUGCAUGAAGGUUAACAGAGGUAAGAGUCCUUAUUCCCACAGACCAAAAUUACCUGGAGACCUCAGUAACAUCCAUUCCAAAUUCUUGUUGGAGAGCCCUUAACAAAAUCAGUUUAUUUAAAAUGAAAGCUCAUUCAAAGACUACCAUUCUAAAUGACCAUGGAGGCACAAAUCCCUGUAUGCUUGCAGGUUGAAAAAUACGGUGUUAUGGAAAUCAGCCUCUAGGAACAAUGAGAGCUGUGCUAUGUGUUUUGUAUUUUUUCCCUUUCCAACCCAAGCCAUUCCAUGACUGAUUACUCCUAAUACUGAGAAAGCAUUUGGGUGGUUCACAUAACCUUGUUUUUACCAGCUGGCCUCUCUCAUUUGCCCUUCUGUCUGGAUUGGAUGGCUAAUUUGCUCAGCCUGCACACGCAUGUGCCAGUCAGCAUCAUAGUUAUUUUUAAGCAUGACUACUUCACUUCCAAUAGGUUGACAGAGAAGUGAAAUUCCUUGUGUGAACAUCAGGCAAUAAUUCUUUCUGUGCAAAUGGUUGUAAAGUGUAGAUUUUGUGUUUACAUCUUUGUUUCACAUCACUGAGAAAAAUAUCUUUUGCUAAAAGGAAACCAACUUGGGGCAAAAACAUACCAUUGAAGGUAGAUUUUGUCAAGAAGUGGAACAUGCAAGAUGAUGAAGCACAAUGAGGGAUUUUCAAUAUCUGGUAUCCAACAACUCUUGUGAUUGCUUCAUUAGACUGUCCAUAAAUUGACUAUUUCUUAAGUUGCAACACAAUCUUAUAUCUGAGCAAAACGUUAGUUUUUAAAAUGAAACUGUUUAGAGAAAAUCUGAGCAGAGAAUGGGCCAAAUAUCCCUUCAGCUGGGGUACAACUGCAGGCCUGUUUUGCAUGCCCAGUUAUCAGCUGCUGGGGAGAGCAUGGAUCUGUUACGGCUAUUGUGUUUAAUGCCACCUAUGUCUAAGCACAGUUAAUGGGGAGUUCAUAGUAAGUCUGUGUGUGUGUGGCUGUGAGCAAGGGACGUGAACUCAGGUGCUGGUACAUAGGUGCCAGCAGCUAGGGAGAGUGGAAUCUAAGGGCAGCCACUGGGCAGGUUGAGUGCUUGGGUCCAGCUGCUGAGGGGACCCACCUUAUACAUAGAAAUGUAUCUAUUUCCUACUAUUUGUCUGCUUCUGUAGUCCACACGUGGCAGAAACUCUAAACUAGAGAAGGGGACCACCCUCACAGGUGCUACUGUGACUUGCAGUAUGUGCUCUGGGCUGUGCUUACUGGGAACUGGAAGCUGUGGUGCAAUAGGUAGCCAGUUAAUCCACAUCUGUGCAGUGCCCUGAUAAAGCAACUCAGAACAGAAUUUGACUGAAUUUCACAUCCAACAGAAGUUAGAUAAUGCAGCUUAUGUUUCUAGUUAGCAUUGUAAUAACACAGACACCAGAUGCUGGAAGAUGACAUAAUUGCUUGAUGGAAAAUAAAGCACAGUUUGUAAUCUGUACUGUUACUUUUUUUUUUUUUUUAAUCUCUUCUGAUAUGCAUAUGAAAUAAGAACAUUCAAGAAAAUUAGCAGGAUUAAUGUUGUGAUACACAGACUCCAUAUUUCCUAUGGACUAUCAGCAGCUCUGCGUGCUCUGAAGUUCAGCUACCCUUUUCACACAGAGGAUGGUGAUGCACUGGAACAGGUUGCCCAAGGAGGUUGUGGAUGUCCCAUCCCUGGAGGCAUUCAGGGCCAGGCUGGAUGUGGCUCUGGGCAGCCUGCUCUGGUGGUUGGUGACCCUGCACAUAGCAGGGGGGUUGAAACUCAAUGAUCAUUGCGGUCCUUUUCAACCCAGGCCCUUCUAUGAUUAUGAUUCUAUGAUACAGGAGCAAAUAAUAUUACAUUUUGCAAAUGACUUGUCUACACUGAACAGGAAGUGAACGCUAUUGUGGUGGCAAUUCAUCUACUGUGAAGAAUUGGGAAAGCAAGUACAAUUACUUCACUUUUAUGGACUUCUGCUAGUAAUCCUUUUAAAAGUAGUAAUUAAUCAAGAUUCGAAACGUCUGCCUUCCAAAAUAUGGUGCAACAGUUUCAGUUUAAGAAAACUGCUGAAUGCAAUCGACUUUCGCCCACAAGUGCAAUGCAAUUGUUUUAUUGCCCAAUUUUAUGUUUAAAAACUUGCAUAAACUCUUUUUUCAUCAGGAGCAAACAGCCAUGAAGAAAAGCCGAGAGCAAUGGGAAUUUGGGCGCUUCCUUUCUGAGCCACUUUCAUACCAGUGUAAGUCCUGGCUCCACAUGGCAUCCAGUUCUUGCUCACCUGUAAUAAACUAGAUUUUGGUGGUGGGGAGCACUGUUAGAUGCAAGUAUAGAACAUCAGUUACAUAUUUUAUUUUAUAUAAGUUUAUCUUGAUAUAUAGAAAUUUAUCUUGUGAUUUCUACAUGGGUGGGUUUUUUGUUUGUUUUCUUUUGCUUUUUUUUAUGUAUAUGGUCCAGUUCACAUAGUGGUUAUUCCAAUACAACUUUACUACCACAGCCCUCAAGACCUCAUUUGGGAUAAUGAACUCACAGGUACAAAAGUCUUGGCCACCCUCCAUGAGUUAGAACAAGGACUGCUAACAGUAAAGUAAUCAAGCCAGAUGCCACAAACUGUUUUUAUUAGUAGGGGAUCUCUGGGAAAGGUGCAGGUGAUGUGAGUAGAGAUGUCUGUUAGAAACUGUGAUAGCUAUUUACUACCUAAUAGAGAGCAUACACAUUUCCUCCUUCUGGAAAUAGCAAACCAGAAUUCAUUUUCACAGUGUGUUUUCUUUCAAAAAAGGCCUCUCAAUAUCAUAUUCUCUCACAGAUAGAUAAAUUCUGUCAAAGAUCCUGAAAGGGGAAGAGAGUACAAAUGAAGCAUUACAAACAAAAAAAAGAACAGCAUUUGAAUAAAAGGUCUAGAAUUUGCCCAGAAUGAUUGUAUAAUUUUCACCAGUUCACCUUGCUGUGUCGUAUGGUAUGCGAGAACAAACUGCCUUAAAUACAAUUCUGUACUUCAGUUGUGGCAGGUUACAGCAGUGUAAUUAGAACACAAAACAAACUAACAAACAAAAAACCCAGAAGAUUGUUCUUUGUUUACAUUUUAUUUUUAAUAUCCCAGUUAACUAGAACAUCAGUAAGCUCCUCGGAGGACCAUGUGUCUCAGAUCUCCAUUCUGCUUCAGGCAAACCAUAAAUUAACACCGAGCGAAAUAAGCUAAACUUUUAAAUAAUAUAAAUAUUUAGCAGCAUAGAAUCAGAGCAAAAUUGAUGCAUCAGUAGAAAUUUCCUGUGAACUACAAUAGAAGACUACCACCUACAAACAGUCACACAUCUCUUGAAUCUUCACCUUUUCAUUAGAGGGAGUAGAACAAAGAGGAAUCACAGGUUAAGUUGCUGUAGCCAAGUCAUUGGCUACAAUGUCAUUGGCUACAAUGGGACAAACCAGUUAUUUGUCCCAUUAGUGCUUUUUUAACUAAGACCCAAAAUACAAAUACUAGUUGACUGUAAACCACGCAAGUACUUAAACAUUUAGAUUAGAUGUUGAUGCACUUUGCUCUUCUAAAAGGGAUCCUGAUAGCUGGAAUGUUCAGAUACCAAUAUUUAAGAACUGCCACAAGGGUGCAAUAUGGCUUACAAAUACCUGGAUAUAUCAGACAGUCUCUGAAAUUCUCUUCAGACUACACUGUAAGUGAUCAAAACAGCUAGGAUCAAGUGUGAUAUUAGUGUGAUUAAAAAAAUGGAAAAGAUGUAAACAUUAAAAAAAGAUAAAAAAGAU
Long non-coding RNA from Gallus gallus (chicken), 9838 nucleotides. RefSeq lists it as uncharacterized. The record is from RefSeq and is a predicted model, not a curated record. Lineage: Eukaryota; Metazoa; Chordata; Aves; Galliformes; Phasianidae. The transcript is spliced from 2 exons.